ACCGUGAAACGCGCAACUGAGUCGGGUACCAUAAACGGAACCCUGGUCCGUGAUCCGUAUUUGGAUCCGAUUCGCCUCAGCAGCUCCAAUACUCCCCAGGCCUAUUGCCGCCGAAAACCCUGCCCAGAAACUAUGCUCUGCAAUUUACGUCUGUUCCCGGCCGGCGAAAAAAAUGCCAUCGGAGCAGCUACCACUUCCACGUGCUUCGAUUCUUCCGAAGCAAAGAUACUUGAUGCUUCUGAAUCCAUUAUAUCUUCUAAUAAUGACGCAGAUAAUGAACUAUAUCAUGUGCCUGAUGGAGGAACAAUUGCCCUGGAUUGGCUGAGAAAUUCUGAUGGUAAAUUUUGAUUAACUACCCAUAAUGUACUUGGCUCAGUCAUGGUUAUAGUCUCGCAGAGGGCGUCAUCUAUUUCUACUUGUUAUUGUAAAAUAAACACAGCAACCAGUGCACAAACCCAUGCUAUAUUAUAAUCUCAUGAUUAUAAUCAUUGAGAUUGAAGUCAUGUCACCAAAUUUUUACUUGAUGAUGUCAUCUAUUUCUAUUUGUUAUUGGUAAGAAAAGCAACACCCAUUGCAAACUGCUCCUAUGGCCUUAUCAGGAUUUGGGCAGGGCAUAAUGUAGUGUUGCGUACAGCCUUACUUCUACAUUCAAAGGGGUGUUUCU
Molecule: long non-coding RNA, 664 nt
Organism: Malania oleifera
Lineage: Eukaryota; Viridiplantae; Streptophyta; Magnoliopsida; Santalales; Ximeniaceae
Exons: 2
Source: RefSeq, a predicted model, not a curated record